AAAACAAAUAAUAAAAACUUUCAACAACGGAUCUCUUGGUUCCAGCAUCGAUGAAGAACGCAGCGAAAUGCGAUAAGUAAUGUGAAUUGCAGAAUUCAGUGAAUCAUCGAAUCUUUGAACGCACAUUGCGCCCCCUGGUAUUCCGGGGGGCAUACCUGUUCGAGCGUCAUU
This 171-nucleotide ribosomal RNA is filed under the name Parmelia saxatilis. RNAcentral's name for it is "5.8S ribosomal RNA". It matches the Rfam family "5.8S ribosomal RNA". Rfam says of the family: 5.8S ribosomal RNA (5.8S rRNA) is a component of the large subunit of the eukaryotic ribosome. It is transcribed by RNA polymerase I as part of the 45S precursor that also contains 18S and 28S rRNA. Functionally, it is thought that 5.8S rRNA may be involved in ribosome translocation. Lineage: Eukaryota; Fungi; Ascomycota; Lecanoromycetes; Lecanorales; Parmeliaceae. The record is from RNAcentral.